GAUGAACGCUAGCGGCGUGCCUAAUACAUGCAAGUCGAGGGGAAGGACCAUCAGCUUGUUUCUCUUGUGUUAGCUGCGGACGGGCAAGUAAGACGAGGACGACCUACCUAUAAGACUCGGAUAACUUCAAGAAUCCGAAGGUAAUACCAGUGAAUAUUUUCAUCCCCAGAGGUCAUAAGUAAAGGACGGUCUUGCUGUCAGUUAUGGAUGGGUAUGCGCUUGAUUAGCUAGUUGGCGAGGUGACGGCUUACCAAGGCAACGAUCAGUAGGGGUUCUGAGAGGAAGGGACCCAACAUUGGAACCGAGACACGGUCCAAACUCAGACGGGAGGCAGCAGUGAGGAAUAUUGGUCAAUGGGCGAGAGACUGAACCAGCCAAGUAGCGUGCAGGAUGACGGCCCUAUGGGUUGUAAACUGCUUUUAUAAGGGAAUAAAGUGGGUCACGUGUGACUUUUUGAAUGUACCUUAUGAAUAAGGACCGGCUAAUUCCGUG
Molecule: ribosomal RNA, 492 nt
Filed under: uncultured bacterium
Lineage: Bacteria
Description: partial 16S ribosomal RNA
Rfam family: Bacterial small subunit ribosomal RNA
Source: RNAcentral